This is a long non-coding RNA of Eleginops maclovinus (Patagonian blennie), 588 nucleotides long. RefSeq lists it as uncharacterized. The transcript has 3 exons. The record is from RefSeq and is a predicted model, not a curated record. NCBI's taxonomy places the organism in Eukaryota, Metazoa, Chordata, Actinopteri, Perciformes, Eleginopidae.
UUAGAUCCAGUUUCAAGACAAAGAUACAAGCAAUUAAUUAACAAAUCUGUUGGACCUGACCCAUAUCUCAUGAAGAUGAGUGAGUUUUCGACAGAACCUAAAGAUUUGCCGACAAUCGAGGCUGUUUAUCACAAAGUAUCUGGUCCUUCAGACAUCCUACUACACCAAACUGCUGAUGAAAGUCUAUAAAAGUCUGGAGGCAUAUCACUUUUUUGUCAGCGGUUGGGUCCACAGCCUCGGUACCAAACGGCUCCACGAUGAUUAUCGUUUGGUGUUCGCCAGGGUGAGUGUUUGUUGGAAGACAUCCGCCAUGACGUCUGUCAGUUCGUGCGUGGCAACAGGACCUUUAUGGAGACAGGGACAGUGUUGGAUGAAGGGAAGAGGGGACAACCAAGAACAUCUGAGGAAAACAUCCAUUGUGCCAACUGGCGACACUCCAAAGCAGCGGGAAAUACCUGUAAACCAGAUCAACCAGUGGGACUAACUUUAUGAGCGAGUUUCUCUCCACAUACCCCACACAAAGACAGGAAGUAUAGACACAAGACACAAGAAGAAAAGGUAUUUAAAAAUAAAAACAGGAAACCAAAA